RNAcentral lists this ribosomal RNA (500 nucleotides) under uncultured bacterium. RNAcentral describes it as "partial 16S ribosomal RNA". It matches the Rfam family "Bacterial small subunit ribosomal RNA", at positions 30 to 523 of the family's 1533-position model. The record is from RNAcentral.
AUUGAACGCUGGCGGCAGGCCUAACACAUGCAAGUCGAGCGGAUGACGGGAGCUUGCUCCUUGAUUCAGCGGCGGACGGGUGAGUAAUGCCUAGGAAUCUGCCUGGUAGUGGGGGACAACGCUUCGAAAGGAACGCUAAUACCGCAUACGUCCUACGGGAGAAAGCAGGGGACCUUCGGGCCUUGCGCUAUCAGAUGAGCCUAGGUCGGAUUAGCUUGUUGGUGAGGUAAUGGCUCACCAAGGCGACGAUCCGUAACUGGUCUGAGAGGAUGAUCAGUCACACUGGAACUGAGACACGGUCCAGACUCCUACGGGAGGCAGCAGUGGGGAAUAUUGGACAAUGGGCGAAAGCCUGAUCCAGCCAUGCCGCGUGUGUGAAGAAGGUCUUCGGACUGUAAAGCACUUUAAGUUGGGAGGAAGGGUUGUAGAUUAAUACUCUGCAAUUUUGACGUUACCGACAGAAUAAGCACCGGCUAACUCUGUGCCAGCCGCCGCCGUAA